RNAcentral lists this ribosomal RNA (2859 nucleotides) under Salmonella enterica subsp. enterica serovar Typhimurium. RNAcentral's name for it is "bacterial LSU rRNA". It matches the Rfam family "Bacterial large subunit ribosomal RNA". The record is from RNAcentral. Lineage: Bacteria; Pseudomonadati; Pseudomonadota; Gammaproteobacteria; Enterobacterales; Enterobacteriaceae.
AGCGUACACGGUGGAUGCCCUGGCAGUCAGAGGCGAUGAAGGGCGUGCUAAUCUGCGAUAAGCGCCGGUAAGGUGAUAUGAACCGUUAUAACCGGCGAUACCCGAAUGGGGAAACCCAGUGUGAUUCGUCACACUAUCAUUAACUGAAUCCAUAGGUUAAUGAGGCGAACCGGGGGAACUGAAACAUCUAAGUACCCCGAGGAAAAGAAAUCAACCGAGAUUCCCCCAGUAGCGGCGAGCGAACGGGGAGGAGCCCAGAGCCUGAAUCAGCAUGUGUGUUAGUGGAAGCGUCUGGAAAGGCGCGCGAUACAGGGUGACAGCCCCGUACACAAAAGCGCAUGUGCUGUGAGCUCGAUGAGUAGGGCGGGACACGUGGUAUCCUGUCUGAAUAUGGGGGGACCAUCCUCCAAGGCUAAAUACUCCUGACUGACCGAUAGUGAACCAGUACCGUGAGGGAAAGGCGAAAAGAACCCCGGCGAGGGGAGUGAAAAAGAACCUGAAACCGUGUACGUACAAGCAGUGGGAGCACCCUUCGGGGUGUGACUGCGUACCUUUUGUAUAAUGGGUCAGCGACUUAUAUUCUGUAGCAAGGUUAACCGUAUAGGGGAGCCGGAGGGAAACCGAGUCUUAAUUGGGCGUUAAGUUGCAGGGUAUAGACCCGAAACCCGGUGAUCUAGCCAUGGGCAGGUUGAAGGUUGGGUAACACUAACUGGAGGACCGAACCGACUAAUGUUGAAAAAUUAGCGGAUGACCUGUGGCUGGGGGUGAAAGGCCAAUCAAACCGGGAGAUAGCUGGUUCUCCCCGAAAGCUAUUUAGGUAGCGCCUCGUGAAUUCAUCUCCGGGGGUAGAGCACUGUUUCGGCUAGGGGGCCAUCCCGGCUUACCAACCCGAUGCAAACUGCGAAUACCGGAGAAUGUUAUCACGGGAGACACACGGCGGGUGCUAACGUCCGUCGUGAAGAGGGAAACAACCCAGACCGCCAGCUAAGGUCCCAAAGUCAUGGUUAAGUGGGAAACGAUGUGGGAAGGCCCAGACAGCCAGGAUGUUGGCUUAGAAGCAGCCAUCAUUUAAAGAAAGCGUAAUAGCUCACUGGUCGAGUCGGCCUGCGCGGAAGAUGUAACGGGGCUAAACCAUGCACCGAAGCUGCGGCAGCGAACGUAUCACCCAAGACAACUUUACGGAGUUGACGAUUGACGGAGCGAAGCGACGUCAAAGCGUUCAUUAAAGUCGAGUUGGCUUAGGGAUACGUUCGUUGGGUAGGGGAGCGUUCUGUAAGCCUGUGAAGGUGUGUCGUGAGGCAUGCUGGAGGUAUCAGAAGUGCGAAUGCUGACAUAAGUAACGAUAAAGCGGGUGAAAAGCCCGCUCGCCGGAAGACCAAGGGUUCCUGUCCAACGUUAAUCGGGGCAGGGUGAGUCGACCCCUAAGGCGAGGCCGAAAGGCGUAGUCGAUGGGAAACGGGUUAAUAUUCCCGUACUUGGUGUUACUGCGAAGGGGGGACGGAGAAGGCUAUGUUGGCCGGGCGACGGUUGUCCCGGUUUAAGCGUGUAGGUGUGUGUUCCAGGUAAAUCCGGUUCACUUUAACACUGAGGCGUGACGACGAGGCACUACGGUGCUGAAGCAACAAAUGCCCUGCUUCCAGGAAAAGCCUCUAAGCAUCAGGUAACAUCAAAUCGUACCCCAAACCGACACAGGUGGUCAGGUAGAGAAUACCAAGGCGCUUGAGAGAACUCGGGUGAAGGAACUAGGCAAAAUGGUGCCGUAACUUCGGGAGAAGGCACGCUGACACGUAGGUGAAGUGAUUUACUCAUGGAGCUGAAGUCAGUCGAAGAUACCAGCUGGCUGCAACUGUUUAUUAAAAACACAGCACUGUGCAAACACGAAAGUGGACGUAUACGGUGUGACGCCUGCCCGGUGCCGGAAGGUUAAUUGAUGGGGUCAGCGCAAGCGAAGCUCCUGAUCGAAGCCCCGGUAAACGGCGGCCGUAACUAUAACGGUCCUAAGGUAGCGAAAUUCCUUGUCGGGUAAGUUCCGACCUGCACGAAUGGCGUAAUGAUGGCCAGGCUGUCUCCACCCGAGACUCAGUGAAAUUGAACUCGCUGUGAAGAUGCAGUGUACCCGCGGCAAGACGGAAAGACCCCGUGAACCUUUACUAUAGCUUGACACUGAACAUUGAGCCUUGAUGUGUAGGAUAGGUGGGAGGCUUUGAAGUGUGGACGCCAGUCUGCAUGGAGCCGACCUUGAAAUACCACCCUUUAAUGUUUGAUGUUCUAACGUGGACCCGUAAUCCGGGUUGCGGACAGUGUCUGGUGGGUAGUUUGACUGGGGCGGUCUCCUCCUAAAGAGUAACGGAGGAGCACGAAGGUUGGCUAAUCCUGGUCGGACAUCAGGAGGUUAGUGCAAUGGCAUAAGCCAGCUUGACUGCGAGCGUGACGGCGCGAGCAGGUGCGAAAGCAGGUCAUAGUGAUCCGGUGGUUCUGAAUGGAAGGGCCAUCGCUCAACGGAUAAAAGGUACUCCGGGGAUAACAGGCUGAUACCGCCCAAGAGUUCAUAUCGACGGCGGUGUUUGGCACCUCGAUGUCGGCUCAUCACAUCCUGGGGCUGAAGUAGGUCCCAAGGGUAUGGCUGUUCGCCAUUUAAAGUGGUACGCGAGCUGGGUUUAGAACGUCGUGAGACAGUUCGGUCCCUAUCUGCCGUGGGCGCUGGAGAACUGAGGGGGGCUGCUCCUAGUACGAGAGGACCGGAGUGGACGCAUCACUGGUGUUCGGGUUGUCAUGCCAAUGGCACUGCCCGGUAGCUAAAUGCGGAAGAGAUAAGUGCUGAAAGCAUCUAAGCACGAAACUUGCCCCGAGAUGAGUUCU